AGCGAACGCUGGCGGCAGGCCUAACACAUGCAAGUCGAACGAACUCUUCGGAGUUAGUGGCGGACGGGUGAGUAACACGUGGGAACGUGCCUUUUGGUUCGGAAUAACUCAGGGAAACUUGUGCUAAUACCGAAUGUGCCCUUCGGGGGAAAGAUUUAUCGCCAUUAGAGCGGCCCGCGUCUGAUUAGCUAGUUGGUGAGGUAACGGCUCACCAAGGCGACGAUCAGUAGCUGGUCUGAGAGGAUGACCAGCCACACUGGGACUGAGACGCGGCCCAGACUCCUACGGGAGGCAGCAGUGGGGAAUCUUGCGCAAUGGGCGAAAGGCUGACGCAGCCAUGCCGGGUGAAUGAUGAAAGUCUUAGGAUUGUAAAAUUCUUUCAACGGGGACGAUAAUGACGGUACCCGGAGAAGAAGCCCCGGCUAACUUCGUG
This 433-nucleotide ribosomal RNA is filed under the name uncultured bacterium. Its description in RNAcentral is "partial 16S ribosomal RNA". It matches the Rfam family "Bacterial small subunit ribosomal RNA", at positions 29 to 507 of the family's 1533-position model. The record is from RNAcentral.